Malania oleifera is the source of this 655-nucleotide long non-coding RNA. RefSeq lists it as uncharacterized. The transcript has 3 exons. NCBI's taxonomy places the organism in Eukaryota, Viridiplantae, Streptophyta, Magnoliopsida, Santalales, Ximeniaceae. The record is from RefSeq and is a predicted model, not a curated record.
UACCAUGUUAGAUUAACACUUUACCUAAAUGCUCAAGCUAUUAUGUUGCAAGCUAAGUGCCAACAAUAUUAUCAAGCCUCAACAAUGAUUUCAACAUUGUGUCCCUGUUGAUAAUGGAAUCUAUCAAAUAGACCCAAGUGCUUGACUGAUGCGGAAGACGAAUAUAUAUACAUGCAGUAACCGGUUGAUGGAUUGAUUGAUUAGACUUAUUCUUUUGCAUUCAAAGCAUGCUCAGAAAAAUAUCAGGAUUGGAGAUGCCUUGGCUACUCCUUGCACAAAAAUCAAAUAAGAUAUAGGUUUUACUCCGAGAUGGAUGGGUCGUACAGGUUGCUGCUUAUCUGAGAUGAAUCCACACACAAAAUCUCAGGUUCCCUUUUCCCAGCCAUUUGCCCCUCAUGGAUAGAUAGUUAUUGCUGCCCAAGAAUUGGUGAGGAUCUCAAGUACCUUCAGUUUAUGGAAUGAAUAUAUUCAUAUGAAUGAGAUGAAACACAAUGAAAUAUCUGGAAGUAAAGGUAAUAGUUAUUCCUAUUUUAUUCUUCAUUACUCCAUCCAAUAUGUAAAAUGAAAGGAAUAACAUUCUCAUGGUGAAAUUUGAGAAUAAUUAUUCAUUGCCUUAUUCUCCAUUUAUAAAAAAAAUUUGACUAUUAUUUACUCC